This 450-nucleotide ribosomal RNA is filed under the name uncultured bacterium. RNAcentral's name for it is "partial 16S ribosomal RNA". It matches the Rfam family "Bacterial small subunit ribosomal RNA", at positions 354 to 796 of the family's 1533-position model. The record is from RNAcentral.
GUGGGGAAUAUUGGACAAUGGGCGAAAGCCUGAUCCAGCCAUGCCGCGUGUGUGAAGAAGGUCUUCGGAUUGUAAAGCACUUUAAGUUGGGAGGAUGGGCAGUAAGUUAAUACCUUGCUGUUUUGACGUUACCGACAGAAUAAGCACCGGCUAACUUCGUGCCAGCAGCCGCGGUAAUACGAAGGGUGCAAGCGUUAAUCGGAAUUACUGGGCGUAAAGCGCGCGUAGGUGGUUUUGUAAGUUGGAGGUGAAAUCCCCGGGCUCAACCUGGGAACUGCCUCCAAAACUGCAUGACUAGAGUACGGUAGAGGGUAGUGGAAUUUCCUGUGUAGCGGUGAAAUGCGUAGAGAUAGGAAGGAACACCAGUGGCGAAGGCGACUACCUGGACUGAUACUGACACUGAGGUGCGAAAGCGUGGGGAGCAAACAGGAUUAGAUACCCCAGUAGUCC